CUCUCCCUAGGUCCAAAGAGCUGC
RNAcentral lists this non-coding RNA (24 nucleotides) under Cricetulus griseus (Chinese hamster). Lineage: Eukaryota; Metazoa; Chordata; Mammalia; Rodentia; Cricetidae. The record is from RNAcentral.